UUGUAAGUGUGUAAGGGCGCAUGGUGGAUGCCUUGGCAUUGGGCGCCGAUGAAGGACGUGGGAGGCUGCGAUAAGCCUCGGGGAGCUGCCAACCGAGCGUGGAUCCGAGGGUGUCCGAAUGGGUAACCCGGCACGAGUGAUGUCGUGUCACCCGCAUCUGAAUGGAUAGGGUGCGGGGGGAACGCGGGAAGUGAAACAUCUCAGUACCCGUAGGAGAAGAAAACAACCGUGAUUCCGUUAGUAGUGGCGAGCGAACGCGGAGGAUGGCUAAACCGCGCGCAUGGGAUACCCGGCGGGGUUGUGUGUGCGGUGGUGGGCGUUUCGUCUCGGGCCGCCGGCCGGGCGGGAGUGAGAAACCGUGGUGUUAGCCGAAGUGGCCUGGGAUGGUCUGCCGUAGACGGUGAGAGCCCGGUAGGCGAAAACAUUACGGCUCCCGAGGAGGCGUUCCCGAGUAGCAGCGGCCCGUGGAAUCUGCUGUGAAUCGCCGGGACCACCCGGUAAGCUAAAUACGUCCCAAUGACCGAUAGCGGAAAAGUACCGUGAGGAAUGGUGAAAAGUACCCCGGGAGGGAGUGAAAGAGUACCUGAAACCGUGUGCCUACAAUCCGUCAAAGCCCCGGGUGGGGUGAUGGCGUGCCUUUUGAAGAAUGAGCCUGCGAGUCACUGGCAUGUCGCGAGGUAACCCGGGUGGUAGCCGCAGCGAAAGCGAGUCUGAAUAGGCGUAGCACGUGUUGAGCGUGUGUAGUGGCAUGUUGUGGACCCGAAGCGGGGUGAUCUACCCAUGGCCAGGGUGAAGCGCGGGUAAGACCGCGUGGAGGCCCGAACCCACUUAGGUUGAAGACUGAGGGGAUGAGCUGUGGGUAGGGGUGAAAGGCCAAUCAAACUCCGUGAUAGCUGGUUCUCCCGAAAUGCAUUUAGGUGCAGCGUCGCAUGGUUCACACCGGAGGUAGAGCUACUGGAUGGCCGAUGGGCCGACUAGGUUACUGACGUCAGCCAAACUCCGAAUGCCGGUGUGGUUAGUGUGGCAGUGAGACGGCGGGGAUAAGCUUCGCGCGUCGAAAGGGAAACAGCCCAGAUCGCCGGUUAAGGCCCUAAGGUGUGCUAAGUGGGAAAGGAUGUGCAGUCGCGAAGACAACCAGGAGGUGGCUUAGAAGCAGCCAUCCUUGAAAGAGUGCGUAAUAGCUCACUGGUCAAGUGGUUGUGCGCCGAUAAUGUAGCGGGCUCAAGCACACCGCCGAAGCCGCGGCAACACGUAGGUGUGGGUAGGGGAGCGUUCCCUCAUCGGGAAGCAGCAGAGUGAUCUGUUGUGAGGUGGGGAAGUGAGAAUGCAGGCAUGAGUAGCGAUAAGGCAAGUGAAACCUUGCCGCCGGAAGACCAAGGUUCCUGGGCCAGGCCAUCCGCCCGGGUGAGUCGGGACCUAAGGCGAGGCCGACAGGCGUAGUCGAUGGACAACGGGUUGAUAUCCCGUACCCGUGGGUGCGCGCCAUACCGAAUCGGAUCUGCUCACCCAAACGGUGGGUGAUCACGCCCUUUCGGGGUGUGGGCCCGCCGCUGCGUGGGGCCGGUCCGCUAGUAGGUAAGCGAGGGGUGACGCAGAAAGGUAGCCGUACCAGUCAGUGGUGAUACUGGGCAAGCCCGUAGGGAGUCGGAUAGGCAAUCCGUCCGGCGUGAAAUCCUGAGAGGUGAUGCAUAACCGGUUGAUGAAUUCGGUGAUCCUCUGCUGCCAAGAAAAGCCUCUAGCGAGUGCACGCACGGCCGUACCCAAACCGACACAGGUGUCAGGUAGAGAAUACCGAGGCGUACGAGUUAACUAUGGUUAAGGAACUCGGCAAAAUGCCCCGUAACUUCGGGAGAAGGGGACCGGAAUACCGUCAAGGCCCCGCGCCGGCAGCGGGAUCCGGUGGCACAAACCAGGGAGAAGCGACUGUUUACUAAAAACACAGGUCCGUGCGAAGUCGCAAGACGAGGUAUACGGACUGACGCCUGCCCGGUGCUGGAAGGUUAAGAGACCCGUCAACCCCGGUUUUGGGGUGAAGCGGAGAAUUUAAGCCCAGUAAACGGCGGUGGUAACUAUAACCAUCCUAAGGUAGCGAAAUUCCUUGUCGGGUAAGUUCCGACCUGCACGAAUGGCGUAACGACUUCUCCACUGUCUCAACCAUAGACUCGCGAAAUUGCACUACGAGUAAAGAUGCUCGUUACGCGCGGCAGGACGAAAAGACCCGGGACCUUCACUACAACUUGGUAUUGGAGUCCGUGCGGCUUGUGUAGGAUAGGUGGGAGACUAAGAAGCCGCACGCCAGUGCGGGUGGAGUCGUCGUUGAAAUACCACUCUGGCCGUAUUGGGUUUCUAACCUCGAACCCUGAACCGGGUUAGGGACAGUGCCUGGCGGGUAGUUUAACUGGGCGGUUGCCUCCCAAACGGUAACGGAGGCGCCCAAGGUUCUCAACCUGGACGGCAAUCAGGUGGCGAGUGCAAGUGCACAAGGGAGCUUGACUGCAAGACCCACACGUCAAGCAGGGACGAAAGUCGGGACUAGUGAUCCGGCACCCCGAGUGGAAGGGGUGUCGCUCAACGGAUAAAAGGUACCCCGGGGAAACAGGCUGAUCUUCCCCAAGAGUCCAUAUCGACGGGAUGGUUUGGCACCUCGAUGUCGGCUCGUCGCAUCCUGGGCUGGAGCAGGUCCCAAGGUUUGGCUGUUCGCCCAUUAAAGCGGCACGCGAGCUGGGUUAGAACGUCGUGAGACAGUUCGGUCUCUAUCCGCCGCGCGCGCCAGAAGCCUGAGGAAACCUGUCCCUAGUACGAGAGGACCGGGACGGACGAACCUCUGGUGCACCAGUUGUCCCGCCAGGGCACCGCUGGAUAGCCACGUUCGGCAAGGAUAACCGCUGAAAGCAUCUAAGCGGAAACCCCUUCCAAGACCAGGCUUCUCACCCAUCAAGUGGGAUAAGGCCCCCGCACAACACGGAUCAAUAGACCAGACCUAAACCCCGCAAGGGGCGAAGGCCACUGGCACUAACCGCCGAAAACUUACCCAC
Non-coding RNA from Mycobacterium xenopi 3993, 3035 nucleotides. The record is from Rfam. NCBI's taxonomy places the organism in Bacteria, Bacillati, Actinomycetota, Actinomycetes, Mycobacteriales, Mycobacteriaceae.